GAUCCUGGCUCAGGAUGAGCGCUGGCUACAGGCUUAACACAUGCAAGUCGAGGGGCAGCAUGGGGUUUGCUUGCAAACCCCGAUGGCGACCGGCGCACGGGUGAGUAACGCGUAUCCAACCUUCCCGCGACUCGGGUAUAACCUGCCGAAAGGCAGACUAAUCCCCGAUGUCCUCCACUUUGGACAUCUUUUGUGGAGUAAAGGCUUCGGCCGGUUGCGGAUGGGGAUGCGUCCGAUUAGCUUGUUGGCGGGG
RNAcentral lists this ribosomal RNA (253 nucleotides) under uncultured bacterium. Its description in RNAcentral is "partial 16S ribosomal RNA". It matches the Rfam family "Bacterial small subunit ribosomal RNA", at positions 15 to 257 of the family's 1533-position model. The record is from RNAcentral.